Molecule: long non-coding RNA, 1349 nt
Filed under: Struthio camelus australis
Lineage: Eukaryota; Metazoa; Chordata; Aves; Struthioniformes; Struthionidae
Description: lncRNA (ENSSCUG00000005641.1)
Source: RNAcentral
CAUACAGUGCCCCUGUUGUCAGAGAGGCCAAACUGGUGUUGGGAGGACUGUUGUUGCAGUGCGGCAUGUGCUUUGGCAUGGCCUUUGCAGCCCCACUCCACAUGGGGCUCUCCACUUUCUCUCUUUCCUAACCCUAACCCUAGGCCUAAUGCCAACGGGGACCCUAAUGUGAGGGGAGGCCUGCACGGGAGCCAUACAGCGCCCUUGAGGUCGGAGAGGCCCAAGUGGUGUUGGGAGGAGUGUUGUUGCAGCGCCGCAUGUGCUUUGGCAUGGCUUUUGCAGCCCCACUCCACAUGGGGCUCUCCACUUUCUCUCUUUCCUAACCCUAACCCUAGGCCUAAUGCCAACGGGGACCCUAAUGUGAGGGGAGGCCUGCACGGGAGCCAUACAGCGCCCUUGAGGUCGGAGAGGCCCAAGUGGUGUUGGGAGGAGUGUUGUUGCAGCGCCGCAUGUGCUUUGGCAUGGCUUUUGCAGCCCCACUCCACAUGGGGCUCUCCACUUUCUCUCUUUCCUAACCCUAACCCUAGGCCUAAUGCCAACGGGGACCCUAAUGUGAGGGGAGGCCUGCACGGGAGCCAUACAGCGCCCUUGAGGUCGGAGAGGCCCAAGUGGUGUUGGGAGGAGUGUUGUUGCAGCGCCGCAUGUGCUUUGGCAUGGCUUUUGCAGCCCCACUCCACAUGGGGCUCUCCACUUUCUCUCUUUCCUAACCCUAACCCUAGGCCUAAUGCCAACGGGGACCCUAAUGUGAGGGGAGGCCUGCACGGGAGCCAUACAGCGCCCUUGAGGUCGGAGAGGCCCAAGUGGUGUUGGGAGGAGUGUUGUUGCAGCGCCGCAUGUGCUUUGGCAUGGCUUUUGCAGCCCCACUCCACAUGGGGCUCUCCACUUUCUCUCUUUCCUAACCCUAACCCUAGGCCUAAUGCCAACGGGGACCCUAAUGUGAGGGGAGGCCUGCACGGGAGCCAUACAGCGCCCUUGAGGUCGGAGAGGCCCAAGUGGUGUUGGGAGGAGUGUUGUUGCAGCGCCGCAUGUGCUUUGGCAUGGCUUUUGCAGCCCCACUCCACAUGGGGCUCUCCACUUUCUCUCUUUCCUAACCCUAACCCUAGGCCUAAUGCCAACGGGGACCCUAAUGUGAGGGGAGGCCUGCACGGGAGCCAUACAGCGCCCUUGAGGUCGGAGAGGCCCAAGUGGUGUUGGGAGGAGUGUUGUUGCAGCGCCGCAUGUGCUUUGGCAUGGCUUUUGCAGCCCCACUCCACAUGGGGCUCUCCGCUUUCUCUCUUUCCUAACCCUAACGUUAACUGUAACGAUGCAUCCUACCUUUAAUGUCCCACACGUUUACACCUUUGUUUAUC